Molecule: long non-coding RNA, 2794 nt
Organism: Piliocolobus tephrosceles (Ugandan red Colobus)
Lineage: Eukaryota; Metazoa; Chordata; Mammalia; Primates; Cercopithecidae
Exons: 6
Source: RefSeq, a predicted model, not a curated record
GGUCUCGCUGACUUCAGGAGUGAAGCUGCAGACCUUCGCGACAGACCUUCCACUGAAAAUAACUAUAAAAGCUGGAUAUAAAAACAAAACAAGAAUAAGUACAACCAUUUGAAGCCAUCAGCAAGAUACCAAGGAAGCUAAGUUUCCCCGAGAAUCUGGAGUUUCAAAAGACAAAGUGAAGAUCCUGUAGAAAAGAAAAACACAUCAAGGUGACAUAAUGAAAGAGUGAAAAAAAUAUGUAGCCUGGGUUCUACAGCCACCCCCUACAGCUCCACUUUCUGACUCAUGGCCAGGAGAGUGCUGACUCUGUUUUUCCAAGUCCGAGGGGAGUCCUUUGGUGUCCUGGAAAGGACUAUACGUGGAUGGCCCCUACACCAUGCUGACCUCUGGAGCUGAAAUCUGUAGCUGGCGCAUUUGCAGUUGAUCUCUGGGCUCCAUCUCAGCCGUGUAGCCCUCCCCCCAGUUUUGGCCCCAACCAGGUCCUUGCUGCCACCCCGACCUGAGUGCUCAGCCCUUCCCCAUAGCUAACAAUCAAAGCACUUUUGUGUAAUAUCUCAUCUGGCCAUUGUAAGGAUCAAGUGAGGCAGAGGAAAGGGCAGAUGUUAUAAAGCCCAAUUUACAAUUGGAGAAAUGGAGGUUCAGAAUGCAUCAAGAUGCACACAGCAAUACAACUGAGUGACUUCAAGCUGGGGACAUUCUAACUCAGAUGUCCUCAGCUGCAAAGCCAACUGGACUCCAGCCGUGCAGACCAUUGAGGAUGGAAAUGAUUGUAAAACCAAGAUGGACGAUGUUGAGAUGGCCUCAACCCUGCUAUUGAGAUUGGCCCUUAUGGAGGAGGAUAUUUGGUUCAGCAUUCAGAGUCUAAAGGGUACAGAGAGUGAGAAUUUAUUUCAGGCUGAUACCAAUAACCCCGAAGGCCCGGUCCAGCAGGCAGGGCAUACCUGAGAUGCAGGCAACAGGUAACAUGCAAAGUCAGGUGCACAGUGGGAUGUGGUUUGAGAGAUGAGUGCCCCUCCCCAGUGAGAUUUCCACAGCCAUCUGUGGGAUGGCGGACUGAUGUCAUUCUAGCUCCUUAAGAAGGGGCAAGAGCUCACUGGAGGCAGGGGCCUGGUGUGUAAGAGUCCUGGGUGGGAAUCAGAUCAGGCAAAGACCAGGAGAGAUUGGCAGGGGGCUGAAGGGUCAGGCCUAGAGACUGAGCCAGCAGGCAGCACAGAGGGCUCAUGGCACCAGGGCUUACCCCAAGCACAAAACCCUGAGAUGGAUUAGUCCCUAAUUUCAGACCUCUUUAGCUGUGGAUAGCUGACAUAUUUUCUUUCUCUGGGAUAAAUUAGAUCAGGACCUGGGAGGAUUGCAUUUUUUCUUUCUCUGGGAUAAAUUAGAUCAGGACCUGGGAGGAUUGCAUUUACUGGGAGAAGCCCUGGAAUACAAGAUUUGGUAUACUUAAAGGGAGCUCACAUUCCCUUCAACCUGGAGCAACUCACCUGGGAAUGUCUGAGUUGGCCUCAAAGUCUCAGGCAAAUCCAGACCUGUCUAAGGAAUGUGGAAGCUAAAACCAAUUUCACCUGGACCUUUGCCCCAUGGCAACAUCUUGCUCUGUGAAUUGCUGGCUACGUAUAUGGAAGUUGAAGAGAGAAGACAUGUUUUAGCCAAACAAGUAACACAAAUGAUUUUUAUUAUGGAAUUAAAUAAUUAUGUAGAUAUAUUAGAGCAAAGUUAUUUUAUCUGGAUUGCAUUUUGGCCUGUGCGUCCUAUUCAAAAACAAUCUUUAAAAAAAAAUUUACAUCCUCCUGCAAAACAUUUAUUUAAUUAAAAUGUGAAUGACGAGUACCAUAAUGGUCCCUUGAAAGCAGGAUAUGGGAAACAAGGGCAUUUGAAGGAAUAUGGAAAGAAACAACAGAAAGGAUUCUGGCUUUGAAAUUAGUAACCGGGCUUUCAUUCUGGGCUUUGACCCUGGCCAAGUCAUCUCAAGUCCCUGGUCCUUGUUUUCUGUACUGUUCUGCCUGUGUUACCCGCUUCUAACCUGAUUCAGGAGUCCUGGCCCCUUCCUUGACUUCUGGAGGUGUGGGUAGAAUCAAGAUAGAUGUCUCACUUGCCAGCUCUGGGGAGAUUCUAUCAACCUCAUGGUUGAGGGUAGAUAAUAGAUUAUCCCAAACCCUGCUCCAAGGUGUAAAUGUUAACAAGAUUCUACAAUCUCAGUCCCCACUCCAGUUGUGAUACGUUCAACAAGCCCCAGAUAGAUAACUUCACCUCCCCACCCUCACUUUCCUUUCCCUGCCCCAUCACGGUAACAACACACACCCCAAAACAAGUGAUAUCAGUAUUAUUAGGAGACUUGAAAAGUGCGAGCCAAAAAAAUGUAACCUUUGCCCAAUGUGAAGAUCCUUGUUGUUGAAGGUUUCCUGCGUUUCUUUUCUGAGUCAGGGUUCAUGUUCUUUUGGGACAUGCAGCAAUUACUCUGAUCACUAGAAAAGCCCACUGCUUUUGGACUGAUGUGACCCAAAUUGAAGAACCCUAAUACUCCCCAAAGCACAAGCACCAAAGAAAUAAUGCAGGUUGGCCAAAGCCCUUAACAACCUGCAUGAGGCCGACUGGCUGACCAUACUCCAACCUCCAAUCUCACACCCUGUUCUGAUUAUCAACUGUUACGUACAAAUGACCCCAACAUUUAGAGGCUUAGAACAAUGACCAUUUUAUUCUCUUUUUUAUUGAUGGGCUCAACUGAGCGAUUCUUCUGCUUCAAGUAGGGUCAACUGUGAGACCUGGACUCAAAAAAUACUCGAAACUUUAUAUAAUA